CCUACGGGAGGUAGCAGUGAGGAAUAUUGGUCAAUGGACGAGAGUCUGAACCAGCCAAGUAGCGUGAAGGAUGACUGCCCUAUGGGUUGUAAACUUCUUUUAUAAAGGAAUAAAACGAGGCACGUGUGCCUUUUUGCAUGUACUUUAUGAAUAAGGAUCGGCUAACUCCGUGCCAGCAGCCGCGGUAAUACGGAGGAUCCGAGCGUUAUCCGGAUUUAUUGGGUUUAAAGGGAGCGUAGAUGGGUUGUUAAGUCAGUUGUGAAAGUUUGCGGCUCAACCGUAAAAUUGCAAUUGAUACUGGCAGUCUUGAGUACAGUUGAGGUAGGCGGAAUUCGUGGUGUAGCGGUGAAAUGCUUAGAUAUCACGCAGAACCCCGAUUGCGAAGGCAGCCUGCCAAGCCAUGACUGACGCUGAUGCACGAAAGCGUGGGUAUCAAACAGGAUUAGAUACCCGUGUAGUC
Molecule: ribosomal RNA, 460 nt
Filed under: uncultured bacterium
Lineage: Bacteria
Description: partial 16S ribosomal RNA
Rfam family: Bacterial small subunit ribosomal RNA
Source: RNAcentral